RNAcentral lists this ribosomal RNA (683 nucleotides) under uncultured Nitrospirota bacterium. RNAcentral's name for it is "bacterial SSU rRNA". It matches the Rfam family "Bacterial small subunit ribosomal RNA", at positions 168 to 870 of the family's 1533-position model. The record is from RNAcentral. Lineage: Bacteria; Pseudomonadati; Nitrospirota.
ACCGCAUAAGACCACGGACUGGGAUGUCUGUGGUAAAAGGAGCAAUUCACUUGAGGAUGGGCCUGCGGCCUAUCAGGUAGUUGGCGGGGUAACGGCCCACCAAGCCUAAGACGGGUAGCCGGACUGAGAGGUUGAACGGCCACACUGGAACUGAGACACGGUCCAGACUCCUACGGGAGGCAGCAGUGGGGAAUUUUGCGCAAUGGGGGAAACCCUGACGCAGCGACGCCGCGUGGAGGAUGAAGGUCUUCGGAUUGUAAACUCCUUUUGUCGGGGAAGAUAAUGACGGUACCCGAUGAAUAAGCCACGGCUAACUCUGUGCCAGCAGCCGCGGUAAGACAGAGGUGGCAAGCGUUGUUCGGAAUUACUGGGCUUAAAGGGCGCGUAGGCGGUGGAGUAAGUCUGAGGUGGAAGAUUAGGGCUUAACCCUAAAAUUGCCUUGGAAACUGCAUCACUUGAGUCAGCGAGGGGAUGGCGGAAUUCCAGGUGUAGCGGUGAAAUGCGUAGAUAUCUGGAGGAAGGCCGGUGGCGAAGGCGGCCAUCUGGCGCUGAACUGACGCUGAGGCGCGAAAGCGUGGGGAGCAAACAGGAUUAGAUACCCUGGUAGUCCACGCCCUAAACGGUGGGUACUAGGUGUAGGGCUCGUAAGGGUUCUGUGCCGUAGGGAAACCAUUCAGUACCCC